Molecule: non-coding RNA, 477 nt
Organism: Pantherophis guttatus
Lineage: Eukaryota; Metazoa; Chordata; Lepidosauria; Squamata; Colubridae
Source: RefSeq, a predicted model, not a curated record
GGAGCUGCAUCCACCAAUGGCUUCCUAGUGAUGCGUACAAGAAGUAGAAAAACACCAGGCUGCAGACUAGCUGAUGAAUCUCUACAUGGUAAAAUCUUACAGCCCUUUCAGAGUGAUGGAUUUUAAGGGCAACAAAAUAUACAUGGACUGAAUUCCUUCGGGGCAUCAUUUCCUACUCACAUUAACAAGCCGAAGGAAAGCAUCAUUAGGGAUUUUCCUAUCUCGCGCAUGAGAAAAUUGCAACGGAGACCGGUGAAAAAGUUUGGACAUUUUCUUGGCCCUAUUAGCGGGCCAGGCAGAGUGGAGAUCCCUGAUGCUUAAGACUUCCUGCCAACGAAUCUUUAAAGGAAUAUUUCGGCAGCUGCUGGGUUCAUGUAUCCUGAGAAGGAAUCCAGGAAAGUGUAAUUUGAUGAGAUUGCUAAAACAAUUCCAGGAAUCCAAGUUGGCCCAGCAACCUUUGGGUGAACAGAGAAACGG